RNAcentral lists this ribosomal RNA (532 nucleotides) under uncultured fungus. RNAcentral describes it as "SSU rRNA". It matches the Rfam family "Eukaryotic small subunit ribosomal RNA", at positions 300 to 841 of the family's 1831-position model. Lineage: Eukaryota; Fungi. The record is from RNAcentral.
CAAAUUUCUGCCCUAUCAAGUUUCGAUGGUAGGAUAGAGGCCUACCAUGCUUUUUACGGGUAACGGCGAAUUAGGGUUCGAUUCCGGAGAGGGAGCCUGAGAAACGGCUACCACAUCUAAGGAAGGCAGCAGGCGCGCAAAUUACCCAAUCCUGAUUCAGGGAGGUAGUGACAAUAAAUAACAAUCCAGGACUUCGGUCUUGGAAUUGGAAUGAGAACAAUUUAAAUCUCUUAUCGAGGAACAAUUGGAGGGCAAGUCUGGUGCCAGCAGCCGCGGUAAUUCCAGCUCCAAUAGCGUAUAUUAAAGUUGUUGCAGUUAAAUAGCUCGUAGUUGAAUCUUGGGGCUGGUUUGGCGGUCGCGUCUUUGACGUGUACUGUCGGCCGGUUCUUUUACUUGUGGGGAACGUAUGUGCCCUUUGCGGGGUGUGUACGGGAACCAUGGCUGUUACUUUGAAAAAAUUAGAGUGUUUAAAGCGGGCGUAAAGCCUGUAUACAUUAGCAUGGAAUAAUAGAAUAGGACUUUGGUUAAUUAG